RNAcentral lists this ribosomal RNA (497 nucleotides) under uncultured bacterium. RNAcentral's name for it is "partial 16S ribosomal RNA". It matches the Rfam family "Bacterial small subunit ribosomal RNA", at positions 28 to 507 of the family's 1533-position model. The record is from RNAcentral.
GAUGAACGCUGGCGGCGUGCCUAAUACAUGCAAGUCGAGCGAACAGAUGAGGAGCUUGCUCCUCUGACGUUAGCGGCGGACGGGUGAGUAACACGUGGAUAACCUACCUAUAAGACUGGGAUAACUUCGGGAAACCGGAGCUAAUACCGGAUAAUAUAUUGAACCGCAUGGUUCAAUAGUGAAAGACGGUUUUGCUGUCACUUAUAGAUGGAUCCGCGCCGCAUUAGCUAGUUGGUAAGGUAACGGCUUACCAAGGCAACGAUGCGUAGCCGACCUGAGAGGGUGAUCGGCCACACUGGAACUGAGACACGGUCCAGACUCCUACGGAAGGCAGCAGUAGGGAAUCUUCCGCAAUGGGCGAAAGCUUGACGGAGCAACGCCGCGUGAGUGAUGAAGGUCUUCGGAUCGUAAAACUCUGUUAUUAGGGAAGAACAAAUGUGUAAGUAACUAUGCACGUCUUGACGGUACCUAAUCAGAAAGCCACGGCUAACUACGUG